RNAcentral lists this non-coding RNA (29 nucleotides) under Mus musculus (house mouse). Lineage: Eukaryota; Metazoa; Chordata; Mammalia; Rodentia; Muridae. The record is from RNAcentral.
UGUGCACACCUACGAAUGCUUAUCCAUUU